Molecule: ribosomal RNA, 468 nt
Filed under: uncultured bacterium
Lineage: Bacteria
Description: partial 16S ribosomal RNA
Rfam family: Bacterial small subunit ribosomal RNA
Source: RNAcentral
GACGAACGCUGGCGGCGUGCCUAACACAUGCAAGUCGAACGGAAAGGCCCUGCUUUUGUGGGGUGCUCGAGUGGCGAACGGGUGAGUAACACGUGAGUAACCUGCCCUUGACUUUGGGAUAACUUCAGGAAACUGGGGCUAAUACCGGAUAGGAGCUCCUGCUGCAUGGUGGGGGUUGGAAAGUUUCGGCGGUUGGGGAUGGACUCGCGGCUUAUCAGCUUGUUGGUGGGGUAGUGGCUUACCAAGGCUUCGACGGGUAGCCGGCCUGAGAGGGUGACCACGCACAUGGGGACUGAGGGACGGCCCAGACUGCAACGGGAGGCAACAGUGGGGAGUAUUGCACAGUGAGCGGGAGCCUGAUGCAGAAGCGCCGCGUGCGGAAUGACGGCCUUCGGGUUGAGAACCGCUUUCGCCUGAGACGAAGCGUGAGUGACGGUAAUGAGUAAAGAAGCACCGGCUAACUACGUG